UCCUACGGGGCGCAGCAGUGAGGAAUAUUGGUCAAUGGGCGGGAGCCUGAACCAGCCAAGUCGCGUGAAGGAAGAAGGCUUUCGGGUUGUAAACUUCUUUUAAGGGGGAAGAGCAGAAGACGGUACCCCUUGAAUAAGCCACGGCUAACUACGUGCCAGCAGCCGCGGUAAUACGUAGGUGGCAAGCGUUGUCCGGAUUUACUGGGUGUAAAGGGCGUGCAGCCGGGAAGACAAGUCAGAUGUGAAAUCCCGCGGCUCAACCGCGGAACUGCAUUUGAAACUGUUUUUCUUGAGUAUCGGAGAGG
RNAcentral lists this ribosomal RNA (305 nucleotides) under uncultured bacterium. RNAcentral describes it as "bacterial SSU rRNA". It matches the Rfam family "Bacterial small subunit ribosomal RNA", at positions 337 to 657 of the family's 1533-position model. The record is from RNAcentral.